GAGUCGAAGUGACUAUCGGGUGUUGUUAUUGGUGUUUUAGAGAGCUUUGAACUUAAAGGGAUGCAAUUACAAUUAUUCCUAUUAAGAUAGGUGAGUAUACCACAAUAAAUAAAAUAAUUUCAAAAUUGUACUUGAAUGUUGGGACGUUCGAACUGUGAUGAAAUGAUUAAUUCAGACAUGCGCCGGAAGAAUUAGACGCUGUUAUGUAACAACUAGUUAUGUAACAAUAUAUGAAGCAACACCAUAUCUGUAGUGAGCUAUGAUUCUGCCCACUUAUUUCUGGUCCGUGAUAGACAAGACAGCUAGAGCUGCUGGGUGAAUCCCCGGCCCUCCUACAGCAGUAGCCAUGCCGUGGCCCUUGGUUCUGAUCGCUACCAUCAUAGCAACAGAAUGCAUGCUGCUUUUGGUGAAAAAACGGCUUUGUGAUAUGAUUUAUGCAAGAGCACCAUUAUCUUCGCGACCGUAUUUCUAUUAUGUUGUUUUGCUGUAGUUAUGUUGACAAUCUUUUUUCAAGUUAGUAUUGAAUAGUUAUGAUGUAUAUAACCAUUCGAUUUAAUUAUGUAUUUAACAUAAUUUGAUUGAAGUACUUUUAAUGUAUACGCUUUGAAGUCUAGUUUGCUAAUCUUGUCAAGCAUUUCUGAAAAAAUAAUUUUAUUGUCACUAUUUUUAAUAACAUGAUAAAUAUUUUUUUAAAUUCAAUAAAAAUAUUUUUAAAUGUA
Molecule: unclassified non-coding RNA, 719 nt
Filed under: Homalodisca vitripennis (glassy-winged sharpshooter)
Lineage: Eukaryota; Metazoa; Arthropoda; Insecta; Hemiptera; Cicadellidae
Description: uncharacterized LOC124358036, transcript variant X6
Source: RNAcentral